UUUUAAAUGGCCGCAGUAUUUUGACUGUGCAAAGGUAGCAUAAUCAUUAGUUUUUUAAUUAAAAGCUUGUAUGAAAGGCUGGACGAGGUAAAAUCUGUCUCUAUUUAAAUUAUAAUAGAAUUUAACUUUUAAGUUAAAAGGCUUAAAUAUUAUUAAAAGACGAGAAGACCCUAUAGAUCUUUAUAAUUUAUUAAAUGAAAUUAAUUUAGAAAUAUUAAUAUUUUAUUUAAUGUAAUUAUUUUAUUGGGGUAAUAAAAAGAUUGUAUUAAUUCUUUUUUAUAAUAAACAUUGAUUUAUGAAUAUUAAUGAUCCAGUUUUACUGAUUAUAAGAUUAAGUUACCUUAGGGAUAACAGCGUAAUUUUUUUAGAGAGUUCAUAUCGAUAAAAAAGUUUGCGACCUCGAUGUUGGAUUAAAGAUUAUUUUAGGUGCAGAAGCUUAAUAAUUUUGGUCUGUUCGACCAUUAAAUCUUUACAUGAUCUGAGUUCAGACCGGCGUAAGCCAGGUCGGUUUCUAUCUUUAAUAAAAUAAAAUAUUUUAGUACGAAAGGACCAAAUAUUUGAUAUAUUUAUAUUUAAUUUAUUGAAUAUUA
RNAcentral lists this ribosomal RNA (590 nucleotides) under Carabus guadarramus. RNAcentral's name for it is "partial large subunit ribosomal RNA". It matches the Rfam family "Bacterial large subunit ribosomal RNA", at positions 1921 to 2748 of the family's 2925-position model. The record is from RNAcentral. Lineage: Eukaryota; Metazoa; Arthropoda; Insecta; Coleoptera; Carabidae.